RNAcentral lists this ribosomal RNA (468 nucleotides) under uncultured bacterium. RNAcentral describes it as "partial 16S ribosomal RNA". It matches the Rfam family "Bacterial small subunit ribosomal RNA", at positions 28 to 507 of the family's 1533-position model. The record is from RNAcentral.
GACGAACGCUGGCGGCGUGCUUAACACAUGCAAGUCGAACGGAAAGGCCCUGCUUUUGUGGAGUGCUCGAGUGGCGAACGGGUGAGUAACACGUGAGUAACCUGCCCUUGACUUUGGGAUAACUUCAGGAAACUGGGGCUAAUACCGGAUAGGAGCUCCUGCUGCAUGGUGGGGGUUGGAAAGUUUCGGCGGUUGGGGAUGGACUCGCGGCUUAUCAGCUUGUUGGUGGGGUAGUGGCUUACCAAGGCUUUGACGGGUAGCCGGCCUGAGAGGGUGACCGGCCACAUUGGGACUGAGAUACGGCCCAGACUCCUACGGGAGGCAGCAGCGGGGAAUAUUGCACAAUGGGCGGAAGCCUGAUGCAGCAACGCCGCGUGCGGGAUGACGGCCUUCGGGUUGUAAACCGCUUUCGCCUGUGACGAAGCGUGAGUGACGGUAAUGGGUAAAGAAGCACCGGCUAACUACGUG